GGUUGACUCUGCCAGAGAGGUGCUAUGAGCAGGAGCGAUAUCCUGUGAGUGCGUGUGUACCGCAGUACCCGUGGAAUCAUAGAGAAUGGAGGGAAGGCGUAGGCCCCGUGAGAGGGCCAGUCAUGAAGAAAUGCGUCCGCUGCUUUGGACAUCGGGUCCGGGAGCCAGCUGUAGUAUUUUUGAAGUUGAUGGUUGGUCCUGGAGGCGAACAAAUCUAUUGAUAG
This is a non-coding RNA of Pelobates cultripes (western spadefoot toad), 224 nucleotides long. Lineage: Eukaryota; Metazoa; Chordata; Amphibia; Anura; Pelobatidae. The record is from the annotation of a GenBank genome assembly.